UACAGGGGGUGCAAACGUUGCUCGGAAUCAUUGGGCGUAAAGCGCACGUAGGCGGUUCGUUAUGUCGGAUGUGAAAGCCCUUGGCUUAACCGAGGAAGUGCAUCCGAAACUGGCGAGCUAGAGUACGAAAGAGGAUCGCGGAAUUCCCGGUGUAGAGGUGAAAUGCGCAGAUAUCAGGAGGAACACCAAUGGCGAAGGCAGCACUCUGGGACGGUACUGACGCUGAGACGCGAAAGCGUGGGGAGCAAACAGG
RNAcentral lists this ribosomal RNA (253 nucleotides) under uncultured bacterium. Its description in RNAcentral is "partial 16S ribosomal RNA". It matches the Rfam family "Bacterial small subunit ribosomal RNA", at positions 524 to 776 of the family's 1533-position model. The record is from RNAcentral.